UAUCUUGUGGGAACCAUAACCCCACACUUAUAACAAAUGAGUUAUGAAACUCAAGAGUCAUAAGCAUGUAACCAUGGUUACAUAUAUGUAACCUUAGUUAGCCCAUCAUUAACUAAGGUUACCCUUUUGGGUAUCUACACAUUGGUCAUACACUUUAUAUGACAAUACAUUGGCCCCCUUAACAUAAUGUCCAUAAGACCACCAAAUUAGGCCAAAUCAAAAGAUAGCACAUAACAUAUAAUUUAUCCAUAUA
RNAcentral lists this long non-coding RNA (253 nucleotides) under Nicotiana benthamiana. Its description in RNAcentral is "long non-coding RNA (NBEN_LNC012636)". The record is from RNAcentral. Lineage: Eukaryota; Viridiplantae; Streptophyta; Magnoliopsida; Solanales; Solanaceae.